GCCAGGCAUGGUGGUACAUGCCUGUUAUCCCUGCUCUAACAAGGCUGAGUGAGGCUGGUGGAUUGCUUGAGCCGGGGAGUUCUGAGCUGCAGUGGGCUAAACUGAUUGGGCUUCCACACUGAAGUCUGACACCAGUAUAUUGAGCUUCUGCAAAUAGGAAGCCACCAGGCUGCCAAAGUUAGAGUGAAAUGGCCUAAGUCAGAAAUGGAGCAGGUCAAAACUCCUUUGUUGGUUAGUAGCAGGGUGGGGCCCAUGAAUCGCCUAUGAGUGAUCACUAUGCUUCUGGACUGGAUGAAAUCAGAGACCCCACCUUU
Molecule: signal recognition particle RNA, 314 nt
Filed under: Phascolarctos cinereus (koala)
Lineage: Eukaryota; Metazoa; Chordata; Mammalia; Diprotodontia; Phascolarctidae
Description: Metazoan signal recognition particle RNA (ENSPCIG00000015339.2)
Rfam family: Metazoan signal recognition particle RNA
About the family: The signal recognition particle (SRP) is a universally conserved ribonucleoprotein. It is involved in the co-translational targeting of proteins to membranes.
Source: RNAcentral